CUGACAAGCAGAAGUAGCUGGAGGCUGCCCUGCAGCGGGCCAAGCAGGACAUGGCGCUGCAGCUGCGUGAGUACCAGGAGCUGAUGAACGUCAAGCUGGCCCUGAUCAUCGAGAU
Long non-coding RNA from Cebus imitator (Panamanian white-faced capuchin), 115 nucleotides. RefSeq lists it as uncharacterized. The transcript has 3 exons. NCBI's taxonomy places the organism in Eukaryota, Metazoa, Chordata, Mammalia, Primates, Cebidae. The record is from RefSeq and is a predicted model, not a curated record.